GAUGAACGCUGGCGGCGUGCCUAAUACAUGCAAGUCGAGCGAACAGACGAGGAGCUUGCUCCUCUGACGUUAGCGGCGGACGGGUGAGUAACACGUGGAUAACCUACCUAUAAGACUGGGAUAACUUCGGGAAACCGGAGCUAAUACCGGAUAAUAUAUUGAACCGCAUGGUUCAAUAGUGAAAGACGGUUUUGCUGCCACUUAUAGAUGGAUCCGCGCCGCAUUAGCUAGUUGGUAAGGUAACGGCUUACCAAGGCAACGAUGCGUAGCCGACCUGAGAGGGUGAUCGGCCACACUGGAACUGAGACACGGUCCAGACUCCUACGGGAGGCAGCAGUAGGGAAUCUUGCGCAAAGGGCGAAAGCUUGACGGAGCAACGCCGCGUGAGUGAUGAAGGUCUUCGGAUCGUAAAACUCUGUUAUUAGGGAAGAACAAAUGUGUAAGUAACUAUGCACGUCUUGACGGUACCUAAUCAGAAAGCCACGGCUAACUACGUG
RNAcentral lists this ribosomal RNA (497 nucleotides) under uncultured bacterium. RNAcentral describes it as "partial 16S ribosomal RNA". It matches the Rfam family "Bacterial small subunit ribosomal RNA", at positions 28 to 507 of the family's 1533-position model. The record is from RNAcentral.